This is a long non-coding RNA of Dromiciops gliroides (monito del monte), 566 nucleotides long. RefSeq lists it as uncharacterized. The record is from RefSeq and is a predicted model, not a curated record. The transcript has 4 exons. Lineage: Eukaryota; Metazoa; Chordata; Mammalia; Microbiotheria; Microbiotheriidae.
AGAUAGAGAGACAAGAUUGAAGGGGGGGGGGCGGACAAGGACGGAGCAGUUCGUACAAGGAGACGAGGGGCUGACAAGGUAGGUGGCAGCCUGCAAAGAGUAGCAUGAGGAGACUAAAAGUCAAAAGGGGUCCACUUAAUAUGCCUAACAUCUUCCGUGGCUUUUCCUGACAUCAUGAGAAUAGCAGAAAGGUAUUCAGGCUGUCCAUCACACCUGGUCCAUGCCCUAUCAGGAAACUGAACAGAGGUGAAAGGAUUUAUUGGUGGUUGGCCAGCUCAAGCAUGUUAAAAGCAGCAUUUGAACCCAGGUCUUCCUGAUGCCAAACCCAGGGUCUUUUGAACCACACCGUGCUGUCUCAACAACAGGAAAAUAAACUCUUCAUUGUAAAAAAGUGCAACUCUAAACAAGUGGGAAGCUAUACAGGCCUAUUGGGAUGGUGUCCUGGAAAGAAUGGCUGAACUUGGAGUCUCAAAACUUAAGUUCCAAUUCUACUUUUGCUUUGUACUAUUUGUACCCCCCCACCCCCCAGGGGGUUGGACCAAGAAGGAAGUAUUUGAAUAAAGCAA